RNAcentral lists this ribosomal RNA (441 nucleotides) under uncultured bacterium. RNAcentral's name for it is "partial 16S ribosomal RNA". It matches the Rfam family "Bacterial small subunit ribosomal RNA", at positions 338 to 795 of the family's 1533-position model. The record is from RNAcentral.
CCUACGGGCGGCAGCAGUGGGGAAUAUUGGGCAAUGGGCGCAAGCCUGACCCAGCAACGCCGCGUGAAGGAUGAAGGUUUUCGGAUUGUAAACUUCUGUCGCGAGGGACGAAGAAUGACGGUACCUCGUAAGAAAGCCCCGGCUAACUACGUGCCAGCAGCCGCGGUAAUACGUAGGGGGCAAGCGUUGUCCGGAAUGACUGGGCGUAAAGGGAGUGUAGGCGGCUCAUCAAGUUAGAUGUGAAAUCCCGCGGCUUAACCGCGGAACUGCAUCUAAAACUGGUAAGCUGGAGUGCAGGAGAGGUGAGUGGAAUUCCAGGUGUAGGAGUGAAAGCCGUAGAUAUCUGGAGGAACAUCAGUGGCGAAGGCGACUAUCUGGCACAUAACUGACGCUGAGGAGCGAAAGCGUGGGUAGCAAACAGGAUUAGAUACCCCAGUAGUC